UCCGGCUUAUCACCGGCAGUCCCCUUAGAGUGCCCAACUAAAUGAUGGCAACUAAGGGCGAGGGUUGCGCUCGUUGCGGGACUUAACCCAACAUCUCACGACACGAGCUGACGACAGCCAUGCAGCACCUGUGCAAGCUCCCCUUGCGGGGUCGUCCCACUUUCAUGGUUCUACUACUUGCAUGUCAAGGCCAGGUAAGGUUCUUCGCGUUGCAUCGAAUUAAGCCACAUACUCCACCGCUUGUGCAGGCCCCCGUCAAUUCCUUUGAGUUUUAGCCUUGCGACCGUACUCCCCAGGCGGAAUGCUUAAUGCGUUAGCUGCGCCACCGACGGGCAAGCCCGCCAACGGCUGGCAUUCAUCGUUUACGGCGUGGACUAC
This 378-nucleotide unclassified non-coding RNA is filed under the name uncultured bacterium. RNAcentral's name for it is "contains 16S-23S intergenic spacer region". The record is from RNAcentral.